This 460-nucleotide ribosomal RNA is filed under the name uncultured bacterium. Its description in RNAcentral is "partial 16S ribosomal RNA". It matches the Rfam family "Bacterial small subunit ribosomal RNA", at positions 338 to 795 of the family's 1533-position model. The record is from RNAcentral.
CCUACGGGAGGCAGCAGUGAGGAAUAUUGGUCAAUGGACGAGAGUCUGAACCAGCCAAGUAGCGUGAAGGAUGACUGCCCUAUGGGUUGUAAACUUCUUUUAUAUGGGAAUAAAACGUUCCACGUGUGGGAUUUUGUAUGUACCAUAUGAAUAAGGAUCGGCUAACUCCGUGCCAGCAGCCGCGGUAAUACGGAGGAUCCGAGCGUUAUCCGGAUUUAUUGGGUUUAAAGGGAGCGUAGGUGGAUUGUUAAGUCAGUUGUGAAAGUUUGCGGCUCAACCAUAAAAUUGCAGUUGAAACUGGCAGUCUUGAGUACAGUAGAGGUAGGCGGAAUUCGUGGUGUAGCGGUGAAAUGCUUAGAUAUCACGAAGAACUCCGAUUGCGAAGGCAGUUCACUGGACUGCAACUGACGCUGAGGCUCGAAAGUGUGGGUAUCAAACAGGAUUAGAUACCCCAGUAGUC